Molecule: ribosomal RNA, 427 nt
Filed under: uncultured bacterium
Lineage: Bacteria
Description: bacterial SSU rRNA
Rfam family: Bacterial small subunit ribosomal RNA
Source: RNAcentral
UGGGGAAUUUUGGACAAUGGGCGCAAGCCUGAUCCAGCAAUGCCGCGUGCAGGAUGAAGGCCUUCGGGUUGUAAACUGCUUUUGUACGGAGCGAAAAGGUCUGCCCUAAUACGGUGGGCUCAUGACGGUACCGUAAGAAUAAGCACCGGCUAACUACGUGCCAGCAGCCGCGGUAAUACGUAGGGUGCGAGCGUUAAUCGGAAUUACUGGGCGUAAAGCGUGCGCAGGCGGUUAUAUAAGACAGUUGUGAAAUCCCCGGGCUCAACCUGGGACCUGCAUUUGUGACUGUAUAGCUAGAGUACGGUAGAGGGGGAUGGAAUUCCGCGUGUAGCAGUGAAAUGCGUAGAUAUGCGGAGGAACACCGAUGGCGAAGGCAAUCCCCUGGACCUGUACUGACGCUCAUGUACGAAAGCGUGGGGAGCAAACA